RNAcentral lists this ribosomal RNA (253 nucleotides) under uncultured bacterium. RNAcentral's name for it is "partial 16S ribosomal RNA". It matches the Rfam family "Bacterial small subunit ribosomal RNA", at positions 524 to 776 of the family's 1533-position model. The record is from RNAcentral.
UACGGGGGGAGCAAGCGUUGUUCGGAUUUACUGGGCGUAAAGGGCGCGUAGGCGGCGUGACAAGUCACUUGUGAAAUCUCCGGGCUUAACUCGGAACGGUCAAGUGAUACUGUCGUGCUAGAGUACAGAAGGGGCAACUGGAAUUCUCGGUGUAGCGGUGAAAUGCGUAGAUAUCGAGAGGAACACCUGAGGUGAAGACGGGUUGCUGGGCUGACACUGACGCUGAUGCGCGAAAGCCAGGGGAGCAAACGGG